RNAcentral lists this unclassified non-coding RNA (525 nucleotides) under Pediococcus acidilactici. RNAcentral describes it as "partial contains 16S ribosomal RNA, 16S-23S intergenic spacer and 23S ribosomal RNA". The stretch from base 344 to 525 matches the Rfam family "Bacterial large subunit ribosomal RNA", at positions 1 to 183 of the family's 2925-position model. The record is from RNAcentral. Lineage: Bacteria; Bacillati; Bacillota; Bacilli; Lactobacillales; Lactobacillaceae.
GUUUGUAGACCCAAAGCCGGUGGGGUACCUUUUGGAGCUAGCCGUCUAAGGUGGGACAGAUGAUUAGGGUGAAGUCGUAACAAGGUAGCCGUAGGAGAACCUGCGGCUGGAUCACCUCCUUUCUAAGGAAUAAUACGGAACCGCACACGAGUCAAAGUUUUGUUUAGUUUUGAGAGGUCUACUCUCACUUUUGUUCUUUGAAAACUGAAUAAUAUCUAUAAUUUCUAAUUUUAAUUAAUCAUAAUUAAACCGAGAGAAAACCGCGUAAUUUUAAAGAGUUAAACAAGAUUAGUUCAAAAUAAUCGCAAUACUCAAUUAAUCGCUUUACCGUAGGUAAAAGUUAGGUUAAGUUAGGAAGGGCGCAUGGUGGAUGCCUUGGUACUAGGAGCCGAUGAAGGACGGGACUAACACCGAUAUGCCUCGGGGAGCUGUAAGUAAGCUUUGAUCCGGGGAUUUCCGAAUGGGGCAACCCAAUAGUUUUAACGACUAUUAUCCGCAUCUGAAUUCAUAGGAUGUGUAAGGUAA